UGGGGAAUAUUGCACAAUGGGCGCAAGCCUGAUGCAGCCAUGCCGCGUGUAUGAAGAAGGCCUUCGGGUUGUAAAGUACUUUCAGCGGGGAGGAAGGGAGUAAAGUUAAUACCUUUGCUCAUUGACGUUACCCGAAGAAGAAGCACCGGCUAACUCCGUGCCAGCAGCCGCGGUAAUACGGAGGGUGCAAGCGUUAAUCGGAAUUACUGGGCGUAAAGCGCACGCAGGCGGUUUGUUAAGUCAGAUGUGAAAUACCCGGGCUCAACCUGGGAACUGCAUCUGAUACUGGCAAGCUUGAGUCUCGUAGAGGGGGGUAGAAUUCCAGGUGUAGCGGUGAAAUGCGUAGAGAUCUGGAGGAAUACCGGUGGCGAAGGCGGCCCCCUGGACGAAGACUGACGCUCAGGUGCGAAAGCGUGGGGAGCAAACAGG
RNAcentral lists this ribosomal RNA (429 nucleotides) under Chloroflexota bacterium. RNAcentral describes it as "Chloroflexi bacterium partial 16S ribosomal RNA". It matches the Rfam family "Bacterial small subunit ribosomal RNA", at positions 355 to 776 of the family's 1533-position model. Lineage: Bacteria; Bacillati; Chloroflexota. The record is from RNAcentral.